AUUGAACGCUGGCGGCAUGCUUUACACAUGCAAGUCGAACGGCAGCGCGGGCUUCGGCCUGGCGGCGAGUGGCGAACGGGUGAGUAAUGCAUCGGAACGUGCCCAGUAGUGGGGGAUAGCCCGGCGAAAGCCGGAUUAAUACCGCAUACGACCUGCGGGUGAAAGCGGGGGACCGAAAGGCCUCGCGCUAUUGGAGCGGCCGAUGUCGGAUUAGCUAGUUGGUGGGGUAAAGGCUUACCAAGGCGACGAUCCGUAGCUGGUCUGAGAGGACGACCAGCCACACUGGGACUGAGACACGGCCCAGACUCCUACGGGAGGCAGCAGUGGGGAAUUUUGGACAAUGGGGGCAACCCUGAUCCAGCCAUGCCGCGUGCGGGAAGAAGGCCUUCGGGUUGUAAACCGCUUUUGUUCGGGAAGAAAUCCUCUGGGCUAAUACCCCGGGGGGAUGACGGUACCGGAAGAAUAAGCACCGGCUAACUACGUG
RNAcentral lists this ribosomal RNA (484 nucleotides) under uncultured bacterium. RNAcentral describes it as "partial 16S ribosomal RNA". It matches the Rfam family "Bacterial small subunit ribosomal RNA", at positions 28 to 507 of the family's 1533-position model. The record is from RNAcentral.